GGACAGAUGGGAGCUUGCUCCCUGAUGUUAGCGGCGGACGGGUGAGUAACACGUGGGUAACCUGCCUGUAAGACUGGGAUAACUCCGGGAAACCGGGGCUAAUACCGGAUGGUUGUCUGAACCGCAUGGUUCAGACAUAAAAGGUGGCUUCGGCUACCACUUACAGAUGGACCCGCGGCGCAUUAGCUAGUUGGUGAGGUAACGGCUCACCAAGGCGACGAUGCGUAGCCGACCUGAGAGGGUGAUCGGCCACACUGGGACUGAGACACGGCCCAGACUCCUACGGGAGGCAGCAGUAGGGAAUCUUCCGCAAUGGACGAAAGUCUGACGGAGCAACGCCGCGUGAGUGAUGAAGGUUUUCGGAUCGUAAAGCUCUGUUGUUAGGGAAGAACAAGUGCCGUUCAAAUAGGGCGGCACCUUGACGGUACCUAACCAGAAAGCCACGGCUAACUACGUGCCAGCAGCCGCGGUAAUACGUAGGUGGCAAGCGUUGUCCGGAAUUAUUGGGCGUAAAGGGCUCGCAGGCGGUUUCUUAAGUCUGAUGUGAAAGCCCCCGGCUC
This 560-nucleotide ribosomal RNA is filed under the name Bacillus subtilis group sp. RNAcentral's name for it is "bacterial SSU rRNA". It matches the Rfam family "Bacterial small subunit ribosomal RNA", at positions 68 to 610 of the family's 1533-position model. Lineage: Bacteria; Bacillati; Bacillota; Bacilli; Caryophanales; Bacillaceae. The record is from RNAcentral.